AUACGUAGGGGGCGAGCGUUGUCCGGAAUGAUUGGGCGUAAAGGGCGCGUAGGCGGCGCGGUAAGUCUGGAGUGAAAGUCCUGCUUUCAAGGUGGGAAUUGCUUUGGAUACUGCCGCGCUUGAGUGCUGGAGAGGUUAUCGGAAUUCCCGGUGUAGCGGUGAAAUGCGUAGAGAUCGGGAGGAACACCAGUGGCGAAGGCGGGUAACUGGACUGCAACUGACGCUGAGGCGCGAAAGUGUGGGGAGCAAACAGGAUUAGAUACCCUGGUAGUCCACACUGUAAACGAUGAAUGCUAGGUGUAAGAGGUAUCGACCCCUUUUGUGCCGGAGUCAACACAAUAAGCAUUCCGCCUGGGGAGUACGGCCGCAAGGUUGAAACUCAAAUGAAUUGACGGGG
Molecule: ribosomal RNA, 397 nt
Filed under: uncultured bacterium
Lineage: Bacteria
Description: partial 16S ribosomal RNA
Rfam family: Bacterial small subunit ribosomal RNA
Source: RNAcentral